CAUGACAACCUUCCAUAAACAUGUUGGGCGACUCAGAGACGGAAGAAAUCCGUCCGCAUGAGCACAAUGAGGCUGUGAUUUGUUGUACGCCAAGAAGCUGCUUUAUCACUUUAAUGUCAACCAACUGCGAUGAACAAAGAAGGUGGUUCCCCCUGCAGAGGUGUUGGAGGAUGUGGCCUACUAUAUUGUGGGUGGGGACGUUACGUUUAACAGAGAGAGAAACUUUCUGGUACAUUGGCAAUAGUCCUAGAAAGCCCGGCGCCAACAGUGUUUCCGUAUUGAGGUCCAACAGGUCAAGAAAAGUUUCAGGUUUUUCUGGUGGAAACUGCCUUUCUGUGACGGCUGAGGGGUUCUCUCCGCUUUCCUGCUUCCAGUGAGGAGUGCAGAGGCUGCCGACCGGCUACUGGCUUUGGAUGUCCACCUCAUCCUGUUGGUAGUGAGCAGGAAAAGAGCACAAUAACCUGGAAUACCACUGAACGAGCUCAGCAUUAUGCAAACACAGUUGUACUUGUCUGUUUCCUCUCAUCCACUGACCGGUUCCUGGAGAGACAUUUCAAAGCGGCACCAUAAUCACUUUGUGUGUCUGCUGCCGACACACAACAGCCUGCCAGGCCUGAACACGCAUGAUAAUGAUUGUUCGAUUAAGUUUUAUUCAUUUAGCUCCAGUAGUUGAUUCUCUGUUUUUCUAAUGGUUGCCUGCAACACUUCCUGUACGUCUGUGUGGAUUAUCAACGUAAGUCUCCAUGAGCUCUAAUCCACCCAGCGCCUCCAGAAUCUGGAGAGCAGCUUAUAUUGAAUGAGUGAUAUAGCAGUUUGUCAAAAACAGCUUUUCUCCUUAGAAAGGUAGAGAUGCUUACCGGUUUUAUUUUGGGCUACAUGGUGGAGAACUCUCUCGAAUGAUUGGAUGCGUACCUUCUCCAUAUGCCAUGUUACUUGCUUCAGAAAUGUUUUGAUAUUAAUCUUACCUUGCAAAAAGUGUUUGCUGCAAAUCUGCGAACACGCCAAAGGCUGCCAGUUCUUCUGACUUGUUACUGAAACAAUGCUACCGGCAUCAGUGCAGAGUUCACAUGUGGCAACUCCCCGAAGGUUGAACAUUUCUGAUUGCCUUUGGGUUGGCUCAGGCAACUGCAGGAGUUUUCAUCUUCUUCACAUCUCUGGUCCUCAGAGGUUGGUGUUUACAUGUAUUCCUGGUCUAAUGUCUCUGAACUAAUCUCUCAACAGAUCUGUGUUCCAGAAAUCCUUCUUUGUUGGUCUCCACAAACAUGGUGGGCCACAAAAGCACAUUGCUACGGUAGCCGUCUGUUCCAAGUGUCCCAGCAUAUUUAUGGAUGUUUAGUGGAAGGAAAAUGGAGAACAAAGUCCUCAAGAGUUUGGGAGAGAAUAACAAGAUGUGGACUGGAGUCGGGUUUUGCGGCUGAUGCCAGUCCAGGUAUUCCUGUGUCUGACCCGAACGCCAUCGAAAAUCUAUAAGGUUCCGUCAAGGAGU
Poeciliopsis prolifica (blackstripe livebearer) is the source of this 1486-nucleotide long non-coding RNA. RefSeq lists it as uncharacterized. Lineage: Eukaryota; Metazoa; Chordata; Actinopteri; Cyprinodontiformes; Poeciliidae. The record is from RefSeq and is a predicted model, not a curated record. The transcript is spliced from 4 exons.